CAAGGGAAAAGUGUGAAAAUUCAAAGAAUCAAGUGACAAAAGGUGGUGAAUCCUCCGAUAAGGGCAAAGAAAUAUUACCCGAGGAUCAAUAGUCGGAGUACUCUAAAAAUUCGACUCCCGAAAUAACUCAGAAUAGGCUGUAGAUAGCUGAUUUCAUCAAGGGCUAUCAUUGGAUUUGCAUCAUCCAAACUGUAAGUUCAUAGUCUUUCUUACUUUUGGUUAUUCGAGGGCUCCCUUGUUAUCGUAAAUUAAAUUAAAU
This is a non-coding RNA of Theobroma cacao (cacao), 259 nucleotides long. The record is from RefSeq and is a predicted model, not a curated record. Lineage: Eukaryota; Viridiplantae; Streptophyta; Magnoliopsida; Malvales; Malvaceae.